Molecule: microRNA precursor, 229 nt
Filed under: Arabidopsis thaliana x Arabidopsis arenosa
Lineage: Eukaryota; Viridiplantae; Streptophyta; Magnoliopsida; Brassicales; Brassicaceae
Source: RNAcentral
AAAGUAACGUGUAGCCAAGGACAACUUGCCGAUCAUGAUUGUUACUUUUGCUUCUUGGUUUUAUCUUGUAUAUAUUUAAAUAUUUAAUACGGCAUAAUAUAUCUAUAUAUCGUACUUUCUUCCUGAAUCCUUGAAGAACCAAAGAAAUUUGAAACCUAAAAUGUCUUAAUAGAGUAUAAAGAAAGACCAUUUAAAUCGGCAAGUCAUCCUUGGCUGCACACUACUUUCG